RNAcentral lists this ribosomal RNA (348 nucleotides) under uncultured bacterium. RNAcentral describes it as "bacterial SSU rRNA". It matches the Rfam family "Bacterial small subunit ribosomal RNA", at positions 162 to 507 of the family's 1533-position model. The record is from RNAcentral.
GCUAAUACCGCAUACGAUCUAAGGAUGAAAGCGGGGAUCGCAAGACCUCGCGCGAUUGGAGCGGCCGAUAUCAGAUUAGGUAGUUGGUGAGGUAAAGGCUCACCAAGCCAACGAUCUGUAGCUGGUCUGAGAGGACGACCAGCCACACUGGAACUGAGACACGGUCCAGACUCCUACGGGAGGCAGCAGUGGGGAAUUUUGGACAAUGGACGCAAGUCUGAUCCAGCCAUUCCGCGUGCAGGAUGAAGGCCCUCGGGUUGUAAACCGUCUUUGUACGGAACGAAAGGUUUCUCUUAAUACGAGGAGCUCAUGACGGUACCGUAAGAAUAAGCACCGGCUAACUACGUG